GCAGUCGACGAUGAUGCCCAGCUUGCUGGGUGGAUUAGUGGCGAACGGGUGAGUAACACGUGAGUAACCUGCCCCUGACUCUGGGAUAAGCGUUGGAAACGACGUCUAAUACUGGAUAUGAUCACUGGCCGCAUGGUCUGGUGGUGGAAAGAUUUUUUGGUUGGGGAUGGACUCGCGGCCUAUCAGCUUGUUGGUGAGGUAAUGGCUCACCAAGGCGACGACGGGUAGCCGGCCUGAGAGGGUGACCGGCCACACUGGGACUGAGACACGGCCCAGACUCCUACGGGAGGCAGCAGUGGGGAAUAUUGCACAAUGGGCGAAAGCCUGAUGCAGCAACGCCGCGUGAGGGAUGACGGCCUUCGGGUUGUAAACCUCUUUUAGUAGGGAAGAAGCGAAAGUGACGGUACCUGCAGAAAAAGCACCGGCUAACUACGUGCCAGCAGCCGCGGUAAUACGUAGGGUGCAAGCGUUGUCCGGAAUUAUUGGGCGUAAAGAGCUCGUAGGCGGUUUGUCGCGUCUGCUGUGAAAUCCCGAGGCUCAACCUCGGGCUUGCAGUGGGUACGGGCAGACUAGAGUGCGGUAGGGGAGAUUGGAAUUCCUGGUGUAGCGGUGGAAUGCGCAGAUAUCAGGAGGAACACCGAUGGCGAAGGCAGAUCUCUGGGCCGUAACUGACGCUGAGGAGCGAAAGCAUGGGGAGCGAACAGGAUUAGAUACCCUGGUAGUCCAUGCCGUAAACGUUGGGCGCUAGAUGUAGGGACCUUUCCACGGUUUCUGUGUCGUAGCUAACGCAUUAAGCGCCCCGCCUGGGGAGUACGGCCGCAAGGCUAAAACUCAAAGGAAUUGACGGGGGCCCGCACAAGCGGCGGAGCAUGCGGAUUAAUUCGAUGCAACGCGAAGAACCUUACCAAGGCUUGACAUACACCGGAAACGGCCAGAGAUGGUCGCCCCCUUGUGGUCGGUGUACAGGUGGUGCAUGGUUGUCGUCAGCUCGUGUCGUGAGAUGUUGGGUUAAGUCCCGCAACGAGCGCAACCCUCGUUCUAUGUUGCCAGCGGGUUAUGCCGGGGACUCAUAGGAGACUGCCGGGGUCAACUCGGAGGAAGGUGGGGAUGACGUCAAAUCAUCAUGCCCCUUAUGUCUUGGGCUUCACGCAUGCUACAAUGGCCGGUACAAAGGGCUGCGAUACCGUAAGGUGGAGCGAAUCCCAAAAAGCCGGUCUCAGUUCGGAUUGAGGUCUGCAACUCGACCUCAUGAAGUCGGAGUCGCUAGUAAUCGCAGAUCAGCAACGCUGCGGUGAAUACGUUCCCGGGCCUUGUACACACCGCCCGUCAAGUCAUGAAAGUCGGUAACACCCGAAGCCGGUGGCCUAACCCUUGUGGAAGGAGC
Molecule: ribosomal RNA, 1384 nt
Filed under: Curtobacterium sp. DP122B
Lineage: Bacteria; Bacillati; Actinomycetota; Actinomycetes; Micrococcales; Microbacteriaceae
Description: bacterial SSU rRNA
Rfam family: Bacterial small subunit ribosomal RNA
Source: RNAcentral